CACCUCUUAUCUCAUUUCUAUCAAAUGCCCAGCAUGUGCAAAUCCAAUAGAGUCAGAAGGAGAUUGAGGCCAAGGAGUAAGAACUAUGGAGCGACGGCAGAGAAGGUAGAGGUUUCUCUCUAGCCUUGUCUGUGGUGGUGUUUGCACAGCUCCGUAAAUAUACAACGAGUCACCGAUGAUGGCUUAUGGGUCCUAGCUCAUAAAAGCUGGCACUGUAAGAUUCCAAGGACUGAGGUUCAAGGAUAUGGGGUGGCCACCAACAAACAGGUGGAAGUUGGCAAAGCAGGGCCUAACCCAAGUGCACGUGCGCGGGAAGCUGGAAUUGACAGCAGAUCCAGGACUUUACCAGGCACUGAUACAGGGUGCAGGUGGCUCAAGUGGCAUCAAUAGUAACAACACUGAAAUCCAUGCAUAUGGGGGAGUUUCAGAAAACGUAUAGGGAAUAUAUAUUGUGAAGGAACAAUG
Long non-coding RNA from Ochotona princeps (American pika), 465 nucleotides. RefSeq lists it as uncharacterized. The transcript is spliced from 3 exons. Lineage: Eukaryota; Metazoa; Chordata; Mammalia; Lagomorpha; Ochotonidae. The record is from RefSeq and is a predicted model, not a curated record.